This 279-nucleotide unclassified non-coding RNA is filed under the name plant metagenome. RNAcentral's name for it is "partial contains small subunit ribosomal RNA, internal transcribed spacer 1, and 5.8S ribosomal RNA". The record is from RNAcentral.
UUUCCGUAGGUGAACCUGCGGAAGGAUCAUUAUCGUAUAACCGCGGUCUGAGGACUGUCGCUGACCCGAGUGUCCGUGCACGCCCGAGUGCCCUCUCCCCUCUCUCAUCCCCCCCUAUGUGCACCACCGCGUGGGCCCCCCCUUGCCUUGUUCGGCGGGGGGCUUACGCUUUCACACAAACUUUGUUUGCAGUGUAGAAUGUGUUUUUUCUUUUUGCGACCACGCUCUCAAUACAACUUUCAACAAAGGAUCUCUCGGAUCUUGCAACGACGAAGCACG